UUAAUUGAAGCCAAAAAGAGGCGUAUCACUGUUAAUGGUAUAAUUGAGUACAAACUCCAAUUAAG
RNAcentral lists this transfer RNA (65 nucleotides) under Drosophila teissieri. Its description in RNAcentral is "tRNA-Asn". Lineage: Eukaryota; Metazoa; Arthropoda; Insecta; Diptera; Drosophilidae. The record is from RNAcentral.